AAAAAUCUCGGAACAAGGAACAACCUCUAAUUUUUGGUGUUCUUUAUUUGAAAACGUUAGAGAUUUU
This 67-nucleotide transfer RNA is filed under the name Balamuthia mandrillaris. RNAcentral describes it as "tRNA-Ser". The record is from RNAcentral. Lineage: Eukaryota; Discosea; Longamoebia; Balamuthiidae.